RNAcentral lists this ribosomal RNA (337 nucleotides) under uncultured bacterium. RNAcentral's name for it is "bacterial SSU rRNA". It matches the Rfam family "Bacterial small subunit ribosomal RNA", at positions 1 to 334 of the family's 1533-position model. The record is from RNAcentral.
GUGAGUAGGUUCAGAGUUUGAUCCUGGCUCAGGAUGAACGCUAGCGGCGUGCAUAACACAUUCAAGUCGAACGGUGAAGUUUCUUCGGAAACGGAUCAGUGGCGGACGGGUGAGUAACGCGUGAGCAACCUGCCUGUUAAAGAGGGAUAACACAUGGAAACGUGUGCUAAUACCGCAUGAAGCAACGAAAUCGCAUGUUUUUGUUGUUAAAGGGUUACCGAUAACAGAUGGGCUCGCGUUGGAUUAGGUAGUUGGUAGGGUAACGGCCUACCAAGCCGACGAUCCAUAGCCGAACUGAGAGGUUGAACGGCCACAUUGGAACUGAGAAACGGUCCAG